AUUUCUUAAUUUAUAUAGUUUAACAACAAAACAUUACUUUUUCAUUGUAAAAUUAAAUAACUUAUUUUAUAA
RNAcentral lists this transfer RNA (72 nucleotides) under Wakarumbia mamasensis. RNAcentral describes it as "tRNA-Glu". The record is from RNAcentral. Lineage: Eukaryota; Metazoa; Arthropoda; Insecta; Coleoptera; Lycidae.